UGGAGGAAAACCACAGCGAUGCUGAUGCAACUCUCCAGGUGCUAUUGGUCUCAUGACUUGACGAUCUUUCAGGAGAAGAACAGCUUCUCGUCUAUCAGAAAGAAGGCAGUUAAGACCUGUCUUAUGAGCUCCGGACUCAUGAACCCGCUGCGUACUUGAAAUCUCUGCUGGGCUAACAGUGCACGGUGUUGUUUGGAGACACUCUCAAGCAAAGACGCAGCGCUGAUCAUGGCUCUGACAUUAUCCUGGGUGGCGGGUGUAGAACCAUGGAGGAGACACGGCCGGUUCUUCAGCUGAUUGUAUUCUAGCGCAAGGAAAUCACAGAACAAGUAAGCAAAUACCCAAUGAAUCAACACCAAGGCAUUGAUGAGGGCUACGAAGGAAAAGAAAGACUAAAAUGGGGAGUUCCCUGGUGGCACAGGAGGUUAAGGGCCUGGCGUUGUCACUGCUGUGGCUGGAGCUGCAGCUGUGGUGCGGGUGUGACCCCAGCCCUGGUACGUCCACGUGUCUUGGGGGCAGCAACCACAACAACAACAACAAAUCCUGGAAAGGAUGGCAGGCGGUGAUGGAGGUUGGGUGCCCAGGACGGUGUCCAGGGAGGUUUUUGCUGAGGAAACGGAGGGGGAGGCACGUGGCUGUCCAGAGGAAGACGGCUACGAGCAGAGGGCGGAGCAUGUUCCUGAGUCACUGUGCAGACUUUGGGUUUUAUUCCAAAUGGAUGGGACGGGGUAUUUUGAGCAGAAGAGCUGCGUUGCCCAGAAGGACUAGUUGGCUGAUGGAUAAAGAAGCUCCUCAUUCUCUACAAACAGGUCAAGCGGCCCUCCUUGGCCAUGAUGACGUUCCAGUGGAGGGACCGCUGUCCCCCGAGGCCCUUCUUGCCGUGACGUGACACCUUCUCUCCUUCGACCAACUGCGAGCUUCCUGAGACAAGCCGCGAACUGGUCCCAGGACCGCAGGCGGCACCUGACCGUCAAUGUCUUGGUUUCGCCGACUUUUUGUCUGGGCGUUUUCUUCUCCUUUGGUCUUUCCAUUGUUCUUAGGCUCCUGCUGAUGGAUGUUUAAACUCCGUGGGAAAUGUUUGGAGUUCCUGAGGCUGUGGUCACGACCCCGACUGCUUCUACUGUCUAACCUGAGGUCCUCAGGUUAUGCUUUAGAAUGACGCCUGGAGGAGGUUCUGUAAAUCAGCUUCUUGGCCCAAAGUUUUCAGUCUCCUGUCAAUGGUCUUGGCUUCUGUUUUAUCUGUGUGUUUGUUAAGCCAACUCCAAAUCGUUUUUUCUGGAAGGAGACGUUGUGCAGAUAAGUAAUAAGAAGCUAUUCGAGGCCAUAUAAGUAUAAUUGCAUCCCUGUAAACGCUUUUUAUCAGGGUUUAAUUGUCAUUGUUUCUACCUAAACCAACGUUCUACUUAACGUAAUCUUUGUACAAAGUUUUCUGCUGCAAAUUUGGAAGCAUUUUCCAGCGACCGUCUCAGUACAAGAUACGCGCUUUUCAAAAGCGCUGAAACGUUAGGACAGAUUCUUUAGCAAUUUUGCACAGAUGUGUUUUGCAAUGAGCAGUGGCCUGCCCUUCGCCAUGCAUCUUUAAAGGAAGUGGUUUUGGUAGAGUAAUUUCAGAAAAAAAAAAGAAAAAGCCCUUGCUCUAAAUAAUUACCAGCAGGU
Phacochoerus africanus (Common warthog) is the source of this 1656-nucleotide long non-coding RNA. RefSeq lists it as uncharacterized. The transcript has 3 exons. Lineage: Eukaryota; Metazoa; Chordata; Mammalia; Artiodactyla; Suidae. The record is from RefSeq and is a predicted model, not a curated record.